Non-coding RNA from Paramuricea clavata, 736 nucleotides. Lineage: Eukaryota; Metazoa; Cnidaria; Anthozoa; Malacalcyonacea; Plexauridae. The record is from the annotation of a GenBank genome assembly.
GUGAUAAUUUGUAUAUUUUGUAUUGCGGAAAUGGACAAAGUUGACAAUAAAUCCUCUUUUAUGCAGUCAAUUUUGGUUUUUCAAGUGUGCAAUUUGUUGUAAAUGAUGCCAGAUCGUUGGAGCUUCAUAUUGUGAAUAACGGGUAGGCAGAAUUUAAUUUUUUUCUUCGAAAAUAUCAAUAUUUGUCGACCCGUAUGAAGGGCGCCCAUAGGACAAACCCUAUGGACAAACCAUCAUUGUUGAUGUAUAUAUAAAUAUAGUUCCACCAAUUCCAAAUAAAACAUUUUGAGCCAUCGCCAUUGCUUCAUGGCAAAAUUGUGAAUGUAUUUGCAUAUUCUUUUGUAAAAGACAGCGACACUGAAAAACAUAUUUUAGUCACAGUUUAUCAAUGGCAAAAAUAGACUUAAAAUCUUAAAUAGUCAAUAUAUAAAACAUUGACACCAAAAAUGGUUCUUACUCCUUACUAUUUGUAUAUUUAUUACAUACAUACAACAUAUAUAUUAUUUUAUAGUUCCAUGGAAUCACAUCAAGAUUAAAAUGUGUUAGAAGCUAGAGAAGAAUAAUUGCAACUUAAUAUAUUCGCAGGCAAUAUACAGGGUGUCUCAAAAAAACCCCAAAAUCAUUGAAAUAACGUAUUGUUCGAAUUUCAAUGCCGUAACACAAAGGAUUUUGACAGGGUGAUUAAUUUGUUUUAAAAAAUUAAAAUAUCUUUGUAAAGUGAACGUUUGUUUGCUCA